Molecule: non-coding RNA, 24 nt
Filed under: Arabidopsis thaliana (thale cress)
Lineage: Eukaryota; Viridiplantae; Streptophyta; Magnoliopsida; Brassicales; Brassicaceae
Source: RNAcentral
UGUGCUGACGCAUAUAAUUUGCCU